This 806-nucleotide long non-coding RNA is filed under the name Olea europaea (common olive). RNAcentral's name for it is "long non-coding RNA (OEUR_LNC009896)". The record is from RNAcentral. Lineage: Eukaryota; Viridiplantae; Streptophyta; Magnoliopsida; Lamiales; Oleaceae.
CCAUACACACAAAACGUGACACGUCUCCCUCAGUCUGUGGACGAUUGGAGCUCCCCUUUCAUCAUUUCAAUAAAUACGCACCUAGGCCACGCUGACCUUUUCAUUUUUCUUCCCUACUUUCUCCUCUUGGGUUUUGUGGUUCCUCCACCAGCGCAACGACUGUAACCAAUUUUCGUCCAGAUACUUCUACUUCCAGCUCAGUAACAGAGAAAGAGACGGCGGUUGGUGGAUCUGACGGUGGUGCCGGAGAAUAUGUCGUCCGGGAGGUACAUGGCGUAUUCACCAUCUCCCUCUGCUCCUCCCUCUCCUCAUAUCGGCGCCGCCGGCUUCCGCUCUGUCUCAUCUGCUGCAGCCGCCAUAGUCGAGCAAGAAAAGUAUAGUCUUUUAUCCUCUUAAUUUCUUAUUAUCGCCUAUAGUAUUCGUACUAGUGUAGAUUUACAGCAUCAAGAAUGGAUCUUCGGAAUUUCAGCAAUUUUAAGUUGUAGUUUGUUCAGAACUGAUUUUGUGAAUUUUUAGUGGAAUUCAGCUGGGGAUCCUCAUUUUCGUGAUUUAUUUGUUUUUACAGAAUCUUGUUCGUAUGAUAUUGUGUGAUUAUGUUGUUCUGAAUAACUGCAAUGGUUGUUCGAUCGAGAUAACUGGAUCUCGGCAAUUUUUUGUCCUAACUUUGUGAGAUUGUACUGAUUAAGCAUACGCUUUAGCGUAGUGGCAUGUUAUGAUUGAAUGUAUAUAAUUCUUCGUUUUUCUUCUAUUCGAGUAUCUCUCUCUCUCUCUCUCUCUCUCUCUUUUUUUUUUUUUUUUUUUUUUUU